This 496-nucleotide ribosomal RNA is filed under the name uncultured bacterium. RNAcentral describes it as "partial 16S ribosomal RNA". It matches the Rfam family "Bacterial small subunit ribosomal RNA", at positions 29 to 507 of the family's 1533-position model. The record is from RNAcentral.
AUGAACGCUGGCGGCGUGCCUAAUACCUGCAAGUCGAGCGAACGGACGAGAAGCUUGCUUCUCUGAUGUUAGCGGCGGACGGGUGAGUAACACGUGGAUAACCUACCUAUAAGACUGGGAUAACUUCGGGAAACCGGAGCUAAUACCGGAUGAUAUUUUGAACCGCCUGGUUCAAAAGUUAAAGACGGUCUUGCUGUCACUUAUAGAUGGAUCCGCGCUGCAUUAGCUAGUUGGUAAGGUAACGGCUUACCAAGGCAACGAUGCAUAGCCGACCUGAGAGGGUGAUCGGCCACACUGGAACUGAGACACGGUCCAGACUCCUACGGGAGGCAGCAGUAGGGAAUCUUCCGCAAUGGGCGAAAGCCUGACGGAGCAACGCCGCGUGAGUGAUGAAGGUCUUCGGAUCGUAAAACUCUGUUAUUAGGGAAGAACAUAUGUGUAAGUAACUGUGCACAUCUUGACGGUACCUAAUCAGAAAGCCACGGCUAACUACGUG